Neopsephotus bourkii (Bourke's parrot) is the source of this 502-nucleotide long non-coding RNA. RefSeq lists it as uncharacterized. The transcript is spliced from 2 exons. The record is from RefSeq and is a predicted model, not a curated record. Lineage: Eukaryota; Metazoa; Chordata; Aves; Psittaciformes; Psittacidae.
UGCACUCGGAAUCUAUAAAGGCACAUAUACUCUUCAUUUCCCCAGUUGGAAAGAACUCUCAGUUCCAGUAUUUGGAAUGCAUUUUGACCAUUCUCCUGGGAAAGGAAACAGCAAAACAACAAACCAGAGUUAGGUGCCUGGUACAACCAAUUGAAAACAUGAACAUUCACAGGAGGCAACAAGCAAUGCUGCAAGAAAAGCCUUGAUAAAGCAUUUUCUGUACUGCUCCCCAUUUCAAUUCAUGAGCAUGCAUUUUCUCUACAAGAAGAAAAGAAUUCUCACCUGAGUGCAUAUGUAUAGCCAGUGUUCUCUGGCAGACACUGGGGAGGAGUAUACGUGUGUAGACGUGAAAAGUCCAUGUUGACUGUUUCAAAUCAUACUGUAAAAGGUGGAAAAAAAAGUAAUGCAACGACUUAGAAGUACACAAAGCCAAUGUAAGAGCCCUUGCACUGUUCAGCCUGUGUUUGCAAGUACUGAAGUAAAGCAGCUACUGUUACCAGAA